GAUGAAGAACGCAGCGAAAUGCGAUACGUAAUGUGAAUUGCAGAAUUCAGUGAAUCAUCGAAUCUUUGAACGCAUAUUGCGCUCUCUGGUAUUCCGGAGAGCAUGCUUGUUUGAGUAUCAGUAAACACCUCAACUCCCUUUUCUUUUUUGAAAUUGGAGCUGGACUUGAGUGAUCCCAACGCUUUCUUCCUAGAAAGUGGCGGGUUGCUUGAAAUGCAGGUGCAGCUGAACUUUUCUCUUAGCUAUAAGCAUAUCUAUUUAGUCUGCCUAAAAAACAGAUUAUUACCUUUGCUGCAGCUAACAUAAAGGAGACUAGUUCUUGUGCUGACUGAUGCAGGAUUCACAGAGACAGCUUCGGCUGACUUUCUAAACUCGAUCUCAAAUCAAGUAAGACUACCCGCUGAACUUAAGCAUAUCAAUAAGCGGAGGA
Molecule: unclassified non-coding RNA, 430 nt
Filed under: soil metagenome
Description: partial contains 5.8S ribosomal RNA, internal transcribed spacer 2, and large subunit ribosomal RNA
Rfam family: 5.8S ribosomal RNA (bases 1-120)
Source: RNAcentral